UAUAUUUUAGUGUAUGGUGCACAAUAAUUUUUGAUUUUAUUAGAUAUAGUUUAAUUCUAUAAAAUAUAA
RNAcentral lists this transfer RNA (69 nucleotides) under Abisara fylloides. Its description in RNAcentral is "tRNA-Gln". The record is from RNAcentral. Lineage: Eukaryota; Metazoa; Arthropoda; Insecta; Lepidoptera; Riodinidae.